GAGGGUAUAAAAACAGUGGUAGAGUGUGUGCUUAGCAUGCAUGAGAUCCUGGGUUCAAUCCCCAGUACCUCCA
Molecule: transfer RNA, 73 nt
Filed under: Camelus bactrianus (Bactrian camel)
Lineage: Eukaryota; Metazoa; Chordata; Mammalia; Artiodactyla; Camelidae
Also listed under: 1 other name
Rfam family: tRNA
About the family: Transfer RNA (tRNA) molecules are approximately 80 nucleotides in length. Their secondary structure includes four short double-helical elements and three loops (D, anti-codon, and T loops).
Source: Rfam by way of RNAcentral